Molecule: ribosomal RNA, 273 nt
Filed under: uncultured prokaryote
Description: partial 16S ribosomal RNA
Rfam family: Bacterial small subunit ribosomal RNA
Source: RNAcentral
UACGUAGGGGCAAGCGUUGUCCGGAAUUAUUGGGCGUAAAGGGUUCGUAGGCGGUAAUACAUGUCAGAUGUGAAAUUUUGUGGCUUAACCACAUCAAGCAUCUGAAACUGUAUAACUUGAGUGGAGGAGAGGUAAGUGGAAUUCCUAGUGUAGCGGUGAAAUGCGUAGAUAUUAGGAAGAAUACCAGUAGCGAAGGCGACUUACUGGCCUCUAACUGACGCUGAUGAACGAAAGCGUGGGUAGCAAACAGGAUUAGAUACCCCGGUAGUCACU